UACGGAGGGUGCAAGCGUUGUUCGGAAUUACUGGGCGUAAAGGGCGCGUAGGCGGCCUGUUAAGUCUGAUGUGAAAGCCCUGGGCUCAACCCAGGAAGUGCAUUGGAUACUGGCAGGCUAGAGUAUGAGAGGGGAGAAUGGAAUUCCUGGUGUAGCGGUGAAAUGCGUAGAUAUCAGGAGGAACACCGGUGGCGAAGGCGGUUCUCUGGAUCAUUACUGACGCUGAGGCGCGAAAGCGUGGGGAGCAAACAGG
This 253-nucleotide unclassified non-coding RNA is filed under the name uncultured delta proteobacterium. Its description in RNAcentral is "contains 16S-23S intergenic spacer region". It matches the Rfam family "Bacterial small subunit ribosomal RNA", at positions 524 to 776 of the family's 1533-position model. The record is from RNAcentral. Lineage: Bacteria; Deltaproteobacteria.